Molecule: non-coding RNA, 111 nt
Filed under: Streptomyces sp.
Lineage: Bacteria; Bacillati; Actinomycetota; Actinomycetes; Kitasatosporales; Streptomycetaceae
Also listed under: 1 other name
Description: ZTP sequence
Rfam family: ZMP/ZTP riboswitch aptamer (pfl RNA motif)
About the family: Previously known as pfl RNA.
Source: RNAcentral
GCGGCGGGCCGUGACUGGCGCGCUGGACCCCGACCAGGGGGUCCGAGGAUGGGACGGACCAUCGGGGAGCGGCCCGGCGAAUGAACUGUGCCGUGCGCCUGGGCCGUACCG